Molecule: ribosomal RNA, 572 nt
Filed under: uncultured bacterium
Lineage: Bacteria
Description: bacterial SSU rRNA
Rfam family: Bacterial small subunit ribosomal RNA
Source: RNAcentral
CCUACGGGAGGCAGCAGUCGAGGAUCUUCGGCAAUGGGCGCAAGCCUGACCGAGCGACGCCGCGUGUGCGAUGAAGGCCUUCGGGUUGUAAAGCACUGUCGAGGGGGAGGAAGCUCCGUAAGGAGUUGACCUAUCCCUGGAGGAAGCACGGGCUAAGUUCGUGCCAGCAGCCGCGGUAAGACGAACCGUGCAAACGUUAUUCGGAAUCACUGGGCUUAAAGGGCGCGUAGGCGGGCUGGAUAGUCUGCGGUGAAAUCCCCCAGCUUAACUGGGGAACUGCCGUGGAUACUGCCAGUCUCGAGGAGGGUAGGGGCAUCUGGAACAGCCGGUGGAGCGGUGAAAUGCGUUGAUAUCGGCUGGAACUCCGGUGGCGAAGGCGAGAUGCUGGACCCUUUCUGACGCUGAGGCGCGAAAGCCAGGGGAGCGAACGGGAUUAGAUACCCCGGUAGUCCUGGCCCUAAACGAUGAGAACUGGAUAGCGACCCUGACAUAGGGCCGCUGUCGGAGCAAAAGUGUUAAGUUCUCCGCCUGGGGAGUAUGGUCGCAAGGCUGAAACUUAAAGGAAUUGACGG